RNAcentral lists this ribosomal RNA (489 nucleotides) under uncultured bacterium. RNAcentral describes it as "partial 16S ribosomal RNA". It matches the Rfam family "Bacterial small subunit ribosomal RNA", at positions 30 to 506 of the family's 1533-position model. The record is from RNAcentral.
AUUGAACGCUGGCGGCAGGCCUAACACAUGCAAGUCGAACGGUAACAGGAAGCAGCUUGCUGCUUUGCUGACGAGUGGCGGACGGGUGAGUAAUGUCUGGGAAACUGCCUGAUGGAGGGGGAUAACUACUGGAAACGGUAGCUAAUACCGCAUAACGUCGCAAGACCAAAGAGGGGGACCUUCGGGCCUCUUGCCAUCGGAUGUGCCCAGAUGGGAUUAGCUAGUAGGUGGGGUAACGGCUCACCUAGGCGACGAUCCCUAGCUGGUCUGAGAGGAUGACCAGCCACACUGGAACUGAGACACGGUACAGACUCCUACGGGAGGCAGCAGUGGGGAAUAUUGCACAAUGGGCGCAAGCCUGAUGCAGCCAUGCCGCGUGUAUGAAGAAGGCCUUCGGGUUGUAAAGUACUUUCAGCGGGGAGGAAGGGAGUAAAGUUAAUACCUUUGCUCAUUGACGUUACCCGCAGAAGAAGCACCGGCUAACUCCGU